Molecule: long non-coding RNA, 323 nt
Organism: Lycium barbarum (goji berry)
Lineage: Eukaryota; Viridiplantae; Streptophyta; Magnoliopsida; Solanales; Solanaceae
Exons: 2
Source: RefSeq, a predicted model, not a curated record
AGUGGUUGACAACAAGAACUGGUAUACUUCAAUUAGAAAUGCCUGCAAGUGAAGCAUUGCAUAGUGAAGGAAGAGUGGAGAGUGCUUUAUUUUCUUUGCAAGGACAAAAAUGGCUAGCUGCCCAAAUAAAGGUGAUGCACCUUCUUUUAAGAUUACCAUAUGAAGGUUCAGUGUCACUUUCUUUUGGUAGGCAUUAUGGUGAGUUUAAUUUCCUUGUGUUUAAAAACAUGACUUAUUCAUUUCUUUGUAGUUGCAUGUAUUUGCUUUAUGUCAAGUACUCUGUAAAUGCAGAGCGUCAUGAAAUGGACUUUGCCACUUCUGUU